AAAACGACUCUCGACAACGGAUAUCUCGGCUCUCGCAUCGAUGAAGAACGUAGCAAAAUGCGAUACUUGGUGUGAAUUGCAGAAUCCCGUGAACCAUCGAGUCUCUGAACGCAAGUUGCGCCCGAAGCCAUUAGGCCGAGGGCACGUCUGCCUGGGCGUCACGC
This 164-nucleotide ribosomal RNA is filed under the name Downingia cuspidata. Its description in RNAcentral is "5.8S ribosomal RNA". It matches the Rfam family "5.8S ribosomal RNA". Rfam says of the family: 5.8S ribosomal RNA (5.8S rRNA) is a component of the large subunit of the eukaryotic ribosome. It is transcribed by RNA polymerase I as part of the 45S precursor that also contains 18S and 28S rRNA. Lineage: Eukaryota; Viridiplantae; Streptophyta; Magnoliopsida; Asterales; Campanulaceae. The record is from RNAcentral.